CUACUCUUCAUUACUUUGAAAGUAUUUGUCAACACUGCUGGAAAAAAAUGAUCAAUGCUAUUUCUCUCUUUCUUUUAGAUUGAUUUUGAGGUAACAAGAUGACAGAGUUUCAAAGAAACAUAAAUGGGGACUCCAGUUGAAUAUAUAGGAUAUUUUCAUUCUAUCUGCCAUGUGUUAUAUGCCUGAUUCUAUGAAUUCAUCUUUUAUUUCUGUAUUCAUUUUAUAUUCUACAUUUUGCACCUGCCAAUUCCACUGUCUUGAGAGUUUGACUGUCUUCCUAUGGUGUCAAGAUGGCUCCUGGAAGCUCCACACUUAGCUGGUCAUUAAAGAUUAUGAUGUCACAGAAAGAUAGAAACCAUCUUGUCUUCAACAGCCUCAUCAACUCCUGGGAAGAUUGCUUAGAGCCAGUUUGCCCACAGGGCAUCAAAUCAUGGAUUCUCUCCAUCAUGCCUGCCUCUUGCUUGCUCUUGUCCAGCUAUGCCAAUAUCUAA
This 491-nucleotide long non-coding RNA is filed under the name Vulpes vulpes (red fox). RNAcentral describes it as "lncRNA (ENSVVUG00000021806.1)". The record is from RNAcentral. Lineage: Eukaryota; Metazoa; Chordata; Mammalia; Carnivora; Canidae.